GUCUACAGCCAUGCCACCCUGAACAAGCCCGAUCCUGCCUGUUGGAAGCUAAGCAGGGUCAGGCCUGGUUAGUAUUUAGAUGGGAAACCACCUAGGAAGACCAGAUGCUGUAGAUA
This 116-nucleotide ribosomal RNA is filed under the name Pteropus alecto (black flying fox). Lineage: Eukaryota; Metazoa; Chordata; Mammalia; Chiroptera; Pteropodidae. The record is from RNAcentral.